RNAcentral lists this ribosomal RNA (460 nucleotides) under Subrasaca flavolineata. Its description in RNAcentral is "partial large subunit ribosomal RNA". The record is from RNAcentral. Lineage: Eukaryota; Metazoa; Arthropoda; Insecta; Hemiptera; Cicadellidae.
UAGUUAAUUUUUAAAAGUAUACUCUGCCCAAUGAUUAAUUAAAUGGCUGCAGUAUUUUGACUGUGCAAAGGUAGCAUAAUAAUUAGUCUUUUAAUUGAAGGCUUGUAUGAAUGAGUUAAUGAGAAGUUAGUUUUAUCUAUUAAAUAAUUUUAAUUUAAUUUUUAAGUAAAAAAGCUUAAUUUUUUAUUUGGGACGAUAAGACCCUAUAGAACUUUAUUUAUUAUUUAUUUUAAUUUAAUUUAGUUUUUAGAUAUUUUAAUUAAUUUAUUAGUUUUGUUGGGGUGAUAAAUAAAUUUAACUUUAUUUUUAAAAUUCAUUUAUUUAUGUAAAAUUUGAUCCACUAUUUUGUGAUAAUAAGAUUAAGUUACCUUAGGGAUAACAGCGUAAUUUUAAUGGGAAGUUCAUAUUUAUAUUAAAGUUUGCGACCUCGAUGUUGAAUUAAGAUAAGAAUGAGGGGUAG